This is a non-coding RNA of Pimephales promelas (fathead minnow), 324 nucleotides long. NCBI's taxonomy places the organism in Eukaryota, Metazoa, Chordata, Actinopteri, Cypriniformes, Leuciscidae. The record is from RefSeq and is a predicted model, not a curated record.
GAAAGAAACUCACACAGGUUUAAAACAAAAUGAGGGGCAACGAGUCAACAAGUUAGAACACCAAGAUGUAGUUUAUGGGAUCAACUGUCUGUCUUACACUUUCGCACUGGCCACACGGUCCUGGAAGCCAUGAACCCACAGGCUGGGAAUGUCAUCAUCCACGAUUUCCAUCUUUCUGCCGGCAAAGCUGCUGUUCUCAAACAGAUAUAGCUUGUGGUCGGCGCUGUCCUGGGGUCUGAUGGACAGGAGACAGAAGCUCCUCUGGCUGUUGGUCCAGGUGGUCCAGCGAGGAUAUUCUCCUUUCUCCAAAACGAACUGCUCUCC